CACCACGCCCGGCUAAUUUUUGUAUUUUUAAUACAGACCGGGUUUUGCCAUGUGGGCCACACUGGUCUCAAACUCCUGACCUCAGGUGAUCCACCCGCCUCGGCCUCCUGUAGUGCUGGGAUUACAGGCCUGAGCCACCACAUCCGGCAUUAAUCACAUACACUUCUUCUUGACUUCCUGCCCUCACUCCUGAGCCCUGGUAGUGUAGGGAGCCAUGCUUUCUUGAAGCUAGGCCUGCAGGUAUCUGGGCUAGCAUGCUGCUGUCAAAAGAACCGCAUGGAACUUUCCAUUGCUGGCCUUGGAACAUCCUUGUAAGCAGGCUUCCAAAUGUAAGCAUUGAGAUUAGAAGGGCACAGCAUUAAAAAGAACAACCUUUGGUUCAAAGUUUCUGUUUGUAUUUUCUAGAACUCUUAAAAGUCAAUAUAUGUAGGUGGACAAAAUAUUUGGUGAAAUUACAGUUCUGAAAAUAGCCUUAUGUUUGCCAGGACUUGAGGAAGGCCCCCAAGUGAUGUCUAGUCCACCUCCUGCAAAGGCAAGAAGGCGGAGGUUGGGAAAGUCCACACUGACAUCUAGUGAUACAAAACUGCACUGCCAAAGGCUCCAACUGAAGCUAUUUGCAGCAGUGGGCUCCUCAAUUCUGAUGCAUCUACUGCCCCCCAAGAGGGCUUGAAGACUCAGUGCACACCAGCCAAUUUCAGCUGCCCUGGUGGGGGCCAAAGCAGUUCAGGCUUCUUUAUGUUUCACUUACAAACUUAGUUUGGCCAUCUAAGAGUUUUGCCUCUUAAUUUUUGAAAUGAUCAUUUCAGCACAUUUUAAAGCUAUAGAAUUUACUGCUAAAAGCUUCUUUGUGCUUGCAGUGGCCAGACCCUUUAAUGCCAAGUGAAUUUUUUUAUUUUCUAUAUGUUCUCAGAACAAAUGCUUGGGCUGAAAUGUCCUGAGCAAGGAAUGAUCUGCAGCAGGGGAUGGAACCAGUACAGCAGGUACUUGUCCUUUUUAGGCCCUGAGAACACUGUCUGCAUUUCAUUUUCAGCAACUCAGAAGUCUAAGGUACAGAAGAAAUGACAGAGAAUGCUUCUUCUGUCUUUCCAUUUUUCUUCUAUACACCAAUGAAAAUAAGUCAGCAGAGAUACGAUUUCUAGUUCCUUCCUUAAUGGCGGCACAGUUAGAAGCAAGACUGCAUUUUUAAGGUUGUUGCAGUAACCCAGGUGAAAAAGAAUGAGGAGGCUGCACAACAAUAUGAAUGUACUUAAUGCCACUAAACCACUUAAAAUUGGUUAAAAUGGUAAAUUUUGUGUUACGUCUAUUUUACCUCAAUUAAAAAAAUAAUGAAGGCUGGACAGCAUCAGUAACAGUAGGAAUGGAAGAAGCUUUUGCAGGACUGAUCAAAUGAUUGGAUGCAGAUACGUUUUCACAUCGUUCUCAUAGGCAAAAUGUACACAUGAACAAAUACUAAACUGUUUAGAAUACUAAUGCCAAAAAACUUCUACAACCUCCACAUCGAAACAAACAGACCUGAACAUUAGGAAAUAAUCAGAUUUUACAAGGAAUGUGUUUUUUAUACACUUUGGACAUUUUCUUUCAUAAUAUGUAAAUAUCAAAACCUUCAAGCAAAUCAUACAGACAAGAAAAUAACAUGUGCUGCAUUAAAAACAUACAGACUUAGCAAAGAAAGGACAAAAACAAAAAACCUCCUAAGGCAGUUUUGACUCUCAGAAAUAUACGAGAGAGCUAAAAACACUGACAGAAUUCAGUUGCUUCUGUGAAGCAAGCGAAAAAGGGGAAAAUAAAUAACUUUUAGGAAGGCACUCCAGACCUGACCUGUACAAACAGCAAAUUCAAAGGUUUUGAAAAUGAUGAGUUUUUACUUUUUAGAGUUUGUAAUCAAUUGAAAUAGUGAUUCAUUGACAUUCUGGGGAGGCAUUAGAAAUGACCUAGAAUUUCUCUGGUAAAACAUAGCAUUUCAGUACGUUUAGAGGUACACGUAGCUGGUUUCUCCAGUACAGUUUUUAACAGGUGGCAUACUAAUAAUAAAUCUUGCUCUGUUUCUUAACACCACUUCCCCCAACUGCUAAUGAUGGGGUGAAAAAGUGAAAAAUACUGUCUAGACCAAUAUUAAUAAGGAGAAUGACGGCUACAAUUAGGAUUUCAUUUUAAUACAGCAGGAUUUUUAUACUGAAUUAAAUGUUCAUAUAUGUUUAUUUGAUAAUAACUCAUGAAUUUCAGUGGCAAAAAAAAGUUUCUUCUGGAGCUCACAAACAGGAUGAACAAUUAAAAAUAAAUAAAUAAGUCCCACCAUGCAGAAAAUUUACUUAGCUUGACACAUAUGAACUUGAGAGGAACGAGAGUUUUGGAAAGUGAGGCCAGCUUCUCUAGGACUUUGGCAAACUCAGUCAUCAUGCAGAGGAAAGAAGGAAGCAAGUGCCUGUUACCUUCAGUGCUCAAUACUAGAAUGAUAGCCAUCUAUGGCCAAAUUUGAAAUGGUGAUGCCUUGAGAAACUAAAUAAUAAGAACUGUCUUUUUUUUAGAUUUAAUGUAAUCUAGCUAAUGGCUUGUGUAUAAUUUUCCAGACAACUUAAUGGAUAUUUUUAUGAUUUAAAAUAAUUGUCUUCCAUGUCAGUCAAGACAUAAAGAAUACAAAUUUCCGCAUUGGAAGAAUGAAUAGCCUCAGGAAGAAGUUUAUAUCUGUUGGAGCAGUAAUUCCAGGCACUGGUCUACAGACCAGCACCAGUCUGUAAUAAGGUGCUCACAGUGAAAUAAGAAAAAUUAGGACAGUGCAGUAGCUUUGUUAUCCAUAAAAAGUUAAAUGUAUUUCAUGCACAAGACUAUCUUUAGUCUAAGAUUAGAUCCUUCCUACCCUAUGAUAGUUGUAGAUGGCCAUAGAUUUGGGGAGUAUUUGGUUUUUUGUUUCUUCCUUUUUAAAUGUAGAUUUCGUUUUUUGGGACAAAGAAAUAUUGGCACCCUGAUGUUGAUUCCUAAACUGUUUUUGAAUUUUUACUGACCUGUGAAAUCUAAAAUGUUGGAAACUGUUGCUCAAGAGAUCAGCAGUUCUCACCUUUGUUUUCCCUGCCUGCCCCAACAUACUGGAGAGAUAGGAUAUACCCCCAUCAGCUCGAGCCUCAGUAAGACUUGUUAUCAGCAGAAACUUAGGCUCUUGAAGAGGGAGGGUGCAUAUCAGAAUGGCUGGAAGUCAUAUAUGUACUAGACAAAGGCCCCAGGUGGUUCUAAGAGGGCCCAAACCCCAGCUAAACUGACAAUUCUCACUCAGUAAUACUGAUAUAUCCAGUGGGCCUAGAAAUGACCCAGAUACCUCAUUUAUUAAUUUAUCAUCUUGCCCUCUCUACAGGACUGUUAUCUUUACUUCCCAGAAAAAUGAGUAGGAUUUCUCCGGAAGGCAAGUCCCUCUGAAGUAUCCACCAACCAAUGCCAUACAGGUUUUUUUCGUCUCUAACACCAGUCCUUCACACUGUAAUUCAGACACACUUUUCUUUACUCUUUCAGGCCAUGCCAUGUAGCUAUUCUUGGUCAUCGUUUCCUCAAGGAAACAUUGAAGGGAUAAGGUCCAGGUCUUUCAAACUGCCCACUGUGACCCGUUAGUGUAGUGGAAAAUGAAUCCAGCUAAACAUGACCAGUAUUUUUUUUUUCUAAAAGAGCAUAGUAUUGAAAGACUAGAAAAUAUCAAAGUAGGCUGGAUGCAAUGGCUCAUGCUUAUAAUUCCAGUGCUUUGGGAGGCUGAGGUGGGAGGAUGGCUCAAGGCCAAAAGUUGGAGACCAACCUGGCCAACAUAGUAAGGCGUCAUCUAUACAAAAUAAAUAAAUAAAAAUAUCAAAGUGCAUGGAAUUUAGUGAAGCUAAACAUUGUUUUAUGAAACUUUAUAUAUAUUCUGAGCUGAGACAUAGAAUAUUUCUCCUAAUAUAGGUUAUAGUUUUUAAAAAAGUUGGCUGUGUACGGUGGCUCACACCUGUAAUCCCAGCACUUUGGGAGGCCGAGGCAGGCAGAUCACCUGAGGUCAGGAGUUCAAGACCAGCCUGGCCCACCUGGUGAAACCCCGCCUCUACUAACAAUACAAAAAUUAGCCAGGCAUGGUGGUACACACCUGUAAUCUCAGCUACUCGGGAGGCUGAGACAGGAGAGUUUCUUGAACCCAGGAGACGGGUUGCAGUGAGCUGAGAUGGUGCCACUGCACUCCAGCCUGGGCGACAGAAUGAGACUCCGUCUCAAAAAAAAAAGAAAAAAAAAGUUUGAAAACCAUUAGAUUCAUUCAACAAUCUCUAUAAUCUAUUACACCUUAAAAUUCUAUGAAUUUCACUUUGGUAAUGAGCAUAGAACUCUCCCUUCUCCCACCCUGCUCAACAUAGCCCUCAACAAAUCCAAGAACUCCUCUUUAUCCUUGAGCCUGAGGUCCCAUCUGGUAUCUCCAGGCAAUCUGACUUGGCCUCAGGCCUUCCUCUGGGCUCCCCUGGCCUUUGGGAUGGUGCUUAACAUACUACUUAUAAUACUAUAUUGUAAUCGUCCAUCUCCCCAGCAAAUUGUGCCAGAGUGCACUUGAAUGAGUGAAGGAAGGAGGCAAGCAACAGUGUAUUUGCUUAAGGGAGUGGUUCACAACCUGGCUUCACAUCAGAAUCCCCUGGGAAGCUUUUAAAAAGCCCAAUACCCAAACCGUACCUGGACAAUUAAAGCAGAAGCACUGUCAGUGGUGUCCAGGCAUCAGAUUCUUUUUUUUGGCAGGGGGUGUGGGGAAGGAGUCUCGCUCUGUACCCCAGGCUGGGGUACAGUGGUACAAUCUCAACUCGCUGCAACCUCUGCCUCCCACGUUCAAGCGAUUCUCCUGCCUCAGCCUCCCGAGUAGCUGGGACUUCAGGUGUAUGCCACCACGCCCAGCUAAUUUUUGUAUUUUUAGUAGAGAUAAGGUUUUGCCAUGUUGCCCAGACCAGUCUCAAACUGCUGGUCUCAAAUGAUUCCCUGGCCUGGCCUCCCAAAGUGCUGGGAUUACAGUCAUGAGCUACCAUGCCCAACCAGCAUCAGAUUCUUUAAAGCUCCGCAAGGGGAGUCCAAUAUGCAGAUGAGAUUGAAAGUGACUGAUGUAGACCAGGUCCUGGGGAUCUUGUGAAAAUGCAGAUACUGCCUCCCUAGACCUGGAGUAGGGGCACAAGAUUCUUUCUAAUGUGCUUCCAGGUGAUGUUGAUGCUGAUGGUCUGCUGACCACAUCUUGAGAAAGGAGGGAAGAGCCAUCUGAUGGAUUCUCUGGCUACAUAAAAAGAGCUGAGAUAGCAAAGUCAGACAGACCUGGAGGAGAGCAAGGGUAGUGACCAGGCAUAUGAUUACUGGAGUAAAUUGCCUGGCACCCUUUCUUCCUAGUGAUGUGACCUUGGGCUAGUUAUUUAAAGUUGCCUUCAUCUGAUGAUGGAGAUAUAACAUAAUAUAAUACAUAGGGUGGGUGUGAGAACUGAGCAGAACACCACGGACACCGUGGUACGCAUGUGUGAGUUAUUAGCAUUAUUAUUACGUAUCCCAAUUCCACCACUUACUAGCUUUGUGCUGUUGGUAAGUGUAUUAGUCCAUUCUCACACUGCUGUAAAGAACUACCUGAGACUGAGUAAUUUAUAAAAAGGACGGUUAAUUGACUCACAGCUCUGCAAGCUAUACAGGAGGCAUGUCUGGGAAGGCCUCAGGAAACCUACAAUCAUGGCAGAAGGCGAAGUGGAAGCCAGCAAGUCUUAUGUGGUAGGAGCAGGAGGAAGAGAGAGCAAAGGGGGAAGUGCUACGCACUUUCAAACAACCAGAUCUUGUGAGAACUCACUCGCUAUUGUGAGAAAAGCAAGGAGGAAAUCCACCCCCAUGAUCCAAUCACCUCUCACCAGGUCUCUCCCCCAACAUUGGGGAUCACAAUUCAACAUGAGAUUUGGGUGGGAACACAGAGCCAAACUAUAUCAGCAAGUUGCUUAACCUCUCUGAGCUCCAGUUUCCUGCACUGUAAAAUGGGGAAUCAUAAUAUCCAUCAAUCUCCUUAUAAGAUUGGAAAGAUAAAGAAACUAUAUGUAAAAUUCUUAGCACAAUGUUCGAUCCAUGUGCAUGCUCAAUAAGUGGUUAUUCCUCAAAUUAGUUUCAUUUGUAUUGGGAUAAAUCAUUGUUCCCUCCCAUAGGUACAUUUUCUAUUUAACCAGUUGCCAGUUCUCAGAAUCUUCUCCUGCCCCCCACACCACACAGGCUGCAGAUUGUAGGGAUAGAUGACAGAGGAUGGGAGGCUCAUCUCACUCUCUAUUUCAAUACGUUCUACUUCAACAGCAGGGCUUGUUUUUAUUACCUUAUUGAGUUCACAUGGGUAGCUUUUGGCAGCAGCAAUUAUUCUCCUUAUUACUCUACAGAUGAAGAAAUAGAUUUGGCUCUGAUAUGUUGGAUUUUCUCAAGCAAGUCCCAUAUCGAAAAUAAAAGCGUUUAAUUCUAAUCAGAGACAGCCGGGAAAAAAAGAAAAAAAAAAAAAACCUCCUGGCUUCCUGCCUCUUGAAAGCCUCUCCUUCAAAAUGUUUUGAGGACCUGCAAUGUGCCAGGAAUAUUACAGCAAAUGAGUCUUCUUUGGUGGUCCAGCCACACCAGCCCUUAUACUUCACAGCGUGAGUGAUAUAAACAUGAAGGCCAGGUGCGGCGGCUUACACCCGUAAUCCCAGCACUUUGGGAAGAGUGAAGUGGAGGAAGAGGUACAUUCAACUACAGAGGAGGAAACUGAGGCCCAGAGGGGAAAAGUGACUUGAUUGACAAAAAUUGGAUUCUGGUCUUUGUUCUGCCAAAGCCACUAAAUCUGUGUUGCUGAGUCUGCUGUUUGCAUGCAGGAAUGUGAAGGACUGCUCAAGUUGGAGAUACAAAUUGAAGCCAGCCCCAGUUCAAAACUGUUACAAAUGGAGUCUGUAGGCAUGAGGGGCUGACUAUAUAACUCAGAGUUCUCCAGUACUUUACUUUAAUAAAGAACACAAUCUUUAUUAAAGGAUAAGUAAUAAAAAUGUGUUGAUGUGCAACUUAUGGAUCUAUUAUUAAAACUCAACAGUCAUUGCAGCAAUGUUUAGAACUUAAGCAAACAAAAGUUUUGUGAGGGGGCAAUUUUAUCAAUGACAUUGUUUAGAAAUGUUGGUAGAUGGUGAUCAUAAAAAGCAGAUCAAUGUUUU
This 7154-nucleotide long non-coding RNA is filed under the name Homo sapiens (human). RNAcentral describes it as "long non-coding RNA NONHSAT213339.1". Lineage: Eukaryota; Metazoa; Chordata; Mammalia; Primates; Hominidae. The record is from RNAcentral.